Molecule: ribosomal RNA, 253 nt
Filed under: uncultured bacterium
Lineage: Bacteria
Description: partial 16S ribosomal RNA
Rfam family: Bacterial small subunit ribosomal RNA
Source: RNAcentral
UACGUAGGGGGCUAGCGUUGUCCGGAAUCAUUGGGCGUAAAGCGCGCGUAGGCGGUCAGGAAAGUCCGGUGUGAAAGUCAUAGGCUCAACCUAUGGAUGCCGCUGGAAACUGCCUGACUUGAGUCCGGAAGGGGCGAGUGGGAUUCCUGGUGUAGCGGUGAAAUGCGCAGAUAUCAGGAGGAACACCGGUGGCGAAGGCGGGACUCUGGGCCGAUACUGACGCUGAGGAGCGAAAGCGUGGGGAGCGAACAGG